Molecule: ribosomal RNA, 464 nt
Filed under: uncultured bacterium
Lineage: Bacteria
Description: partial 16S ribosomal RNA
Rfam family: Bacterial small subunit ribosomal RNA
Source: RNAcentral
CUACGGGGUGCUGCAGUGGGGAAUAUUGCACAAUGGGCGCAAGCCUGAUGCAGCCAUGCCGCGUGUAUGAAGAAGGCCUUCGGGUUGUAAAGUACUUUCAGCGGGGAGGAAGGGAGUAAAGUUAAUACCUUUGCUCAUUGACGUUACCCGCAGAAGAAGCACCGGCUAACUCCGUGCCAGCAGCCGCGGUAAUACGGAGGGUGCAAGCGGUAAUCGGAAUUACUGGGCGUAAAGCGCACGCAGGCGGUUUGUUAAGUCAGAUGUGAAAUCCCCGGGCUCAACCUGGGAACUGCAUCUGAUACUGGCAAGCUUGAGUAUCGUAGAGGGGGGUAGAAUUCCAGGUGUAGCGGUGACAUGCGUAGAGAUCUGGAGGAAUACCGGUGGCGAAGGCGGCCCCCUGGACGAAGACUGACGCUCAGGUGCGAAAGCGUGGGGAGCAAACAGGAUUAGAUACCCUAGUAGUC